AGGGAAAACCACUAGACCAUUCAGUAGCCCACACACCUCAGGAUAUGAGUGUAAUCAGUGCCGCUCCAUUAGCUGCAAAAGGCGAGCCAUCUAAGCAAAGGUAUCAGAAACAUCUAGAAAAUGCCAAAAGGAUUGGAAUUAAAAAAGUUAUUUCAGCGAACAUUUCUAUGGGCACUGCCUUCCUGCUAAUAUAUGCAUCGUAUGCACUGGCCUUCUGGUAUGGAUCCACUCUAGUUAUAGCCAAAGAAUACACUAUUGGAAAUGCAAUUACAGUCUUUUUCUCAGUCCUGAUCGGCGCCUUCAGCAUUGGACAGGCGGCUCCCUGUAUUGAUGCUUUUGCCAAUGCAAGAGGAGCAGCAUAUGCGAUCUUUGCUAUUAUUGAUAAUGACCCUAAAAUUGACAGUUUUUCAGAGAGAGGACACAAACCAGACAACAUUAAAGGGAAUUUGGAGUUUAAAGGUGUUCAUUUCUGUUAUCCUGCUCGGCCGGAUGUCAAAAUCUUGAAGGGCCUCAACCUGAGGGUAGAGAGCGGGCAGACGGCGGCCCUGGUUGGGAACAGCGGCUGUGGGAAGAGCACAGUAGUCCAGCUGGUGCAGAGGCUGUACGACCCUGACGUGGGGCGGAUUAUCAUCGAUGGGCAGGAUAUUAGGACAUUUAAUGUAAAGUAUCUGAGGGAAAUAAUUGGAGUGGUGAGUCAGGAGCCAGUGCUCUUUGCCACCACCAUUGCUGAAAAUAUCCGUUACGGCCGUGGAAAUGUCACCAUGGAUGAAAUAAAGCAAGCUGUGAAGGAAGCCAACGCCUAUGAGUUUAUCAUGAGAUUACCACAGAAAUUUGACACCCUGGUUGGAGAGAGAGGGGUCCAGCUGAGCGGUGGACAGAAGCAGAGAAUCGCCAUCGCCCGGGCGCUGGUUCGCAACCCCAAGAUCCUGCUGCUGGACGAGGCCACCUCAGCGCUGGACACGGAGAGUGAAGCCGAGGUUCAGGCGGCCCUGGAUAAGGCCAGGGAAGGCCGGACCACCAUAGUGAUAGCGCACCGGCUGUCUACGAUCCGGAAUGCAGAUGUCAUCGCUGGGUUUGACGACGGAGUCAUUGUGGAGCAAGGAAGCCACAGAGAACUAAUGAAGAAGGAAGGGGUGUACUUCAGGCUGGUAAACACGCAGGAUGCUUUUCUGAAAAUCAUUCAAAAUGAGGGCAUUAAAUCCCUGUGGAGUGGCCUUCCUCCUGCGUUAGUGAUGGCAGUUCCUGCCACAGUUAUUUAUUUUACCUGCUACGAUCAAUUAACUGCUCUUCUGAGAUCUAAAUUAGGAGAGAAUGAAAGCCGCAUACCAGUUGUUGCUGGAAUUGUGGCCAGACUUGGCGCAGUGACUGUAAUAAGGCCACUGGAAUUGAUUAGAACCAAGAUGCAAUCGAAGAAGUUUUCUUAUGAGGAACUACAUUGAUUUGUCAGCAAGAAAGUAUCUGAAGAUGGUUGGAUUUCCCUCUGGAGGGGCUGGGCUCCUACCAUUCUUAGAGAUGUACCAUUCUCAGCAAUGUACUGGUAUAACUAUGAAGUCUUAACGAGGUGGUUGUGUGCAAAAUCUGGCUUAUAUGAACCAACAUUUAUGAUCAACUUUACCUCAGGGGCAUUGUCUGGUUCUUUUGCAGCUGUUCUAACUUUGCCAUUUGAUGAACACAAAAGCAGACAUAACUUUGGAUAUAUGAAAGCCAGAAAAUUUCUGUGCCUUUGCAAAUGUCAACCUGGACUAUAAUGAAGAACAUUGUUGCUAAGAAUGGCUUUUCUGGAUUAUUUACAGGACUGAUUCCUCGUUUAAUUAAAAUUGCCCCUGCUUGUGCUGUUAUGAUCAGUACGUAUGAAUUUGGAAAGUCUUUCUUCCAGAAACAAAAUGCUCAAAGACAGCAAUACUAGAGAUGCCGUUUAAACCUGAAAUAACAACCUUGACCAAAUAAUAAGAGGAGACUCUGAGGCAAGAGCUUUUUUCACUUUUUUCGCUAUUAUCUUACAGUGGUUUUCUAGCAUUCUUAUCUAUAAUUUAAAUGAAUAGUAAAUCUCUACUUUGCAUUUAAUCAUUCUAACUUCAAAUUUUUAUCCUAAAUUUUGAGAAUUUGAAAAAGAUACUCCAGAAAUCAUAACCAUUGAGCAUUCUUGUAAAGAAGAGAAAUAUUAUUCUACACUGAAAGCAAUAAUCUUAGAGUUUGGUACAGAUUUCUAUGUAACUUCAUACUGUUGGGAGUGUCAAGAGACGUCAAACAUUUUUGCAAUUGCAUGCUGAAUGAUGUACAGAGUCUAAAAGAAUUUCCCGUCUUUUAUACAUAUUUAAAUCAUGGACAUAGAUAAUUGUUUCAACAAAGUAGAUAACAAAACCAGUCUUUAAAUAUUAUUAUUCACAUCAUUUACCAAAUAUUGCCUAUCAGUUAUUUUCUUUAAUUCACAUAUAUUUGGGUUUUUUUUUUUCCCCACCCUGUUACUGUUUUAAGGCCUCAUGUGUAUUAAGAUUUCUCUGAUCAGAGGUAUGGCUAUCUUAUGUUCAUGAACCAAAAAUAUAACUUGUGUGAUAUUAAUGCUGCUAUUUUUGAUGUUUAAAGACCCUGUAUUAUCUACUGUUUCUGUGAGAGAGAUCGUUUACUGACCGUAUUAAAUGUUCACUUCAGUCAAACUUGCAGUGGAAAACCACACUGUAUUCAGGCUAGUGAGAAUGCUGUUUCAGCACAAGAAAGGCCUCUGGUUUCAGCUGUCUUGUCAGCAGGUAUUACCAUUUGUGAAGUUCUCUAGGUCACGUCUGUUCGCUUGUUCUAACGUCACUGAGACAGAGUAUGUUCCAGAUGUCCCUUGACUUUACACAUCUCACAUGAGUGUGCUAGACCAAGAACUACCAAGCCAGCUUCCUUGAAGAAAGAGCUUUCAGUCACUGGAGGCUAAUGCCUAAGAAGUUUAGUUUAUGAAUGUAACAAUGAAAAAGAAUAUGAUUUCAAGACAAUAUUUUUUAAUAUUUUUGUUUUUCUCAGGAUCUGUAUACUCUAAGAAAAAGCACUUUAUUGCAGUCUAUCUGUAUUUUAUGAAAAUGUGAAACAUUUUCCCCUAAAAUAGAGUAAUACAUAUUUAAGUGACAAAUCUCUAGUGUUGGUAGGAAUUAAUGUAUUUUCUAAUAUAGUAGAAAACUGUUUCACCAGAAAGAAGCUAUAUAGGGUUUGUAUUUAAGCUUUUUGUGUUUAUUUUAUCCUGUGUUAAUGUACCGUAUGUUUGCAACAUAUAUAUCCGUAAAAAUAUAAAUAUAUUUUCAUUGAAAUAUUUUGUGCUUUCUUAAAGCUACCACUGUGCUUCUAGCUAAAUACUUUCAUAUAAAACUAUGUUAAUGCUAUACUAUCAACAUAUGUAUAAAACACAUGGAAGUUUAUCUAGAACACUGAUUUGAACAGUAUUAAAUUUAAAUUUACCUUUGUUUUGCUGUGCUUCUUUUGGGUAACUGGUAGGAAAAGGUAAAAAAAUUUAGGUUUUGAACAAUAGUUUCAAAAAUAAGUUAUGUAUUUCAAGUUAAUGUCACUUAUAAACAAACAGAAGGGAAACUUUCAUCCUCUCCUUGCCCCAC
Molecule: RNA transcript, 3584 nt
Organism: Cervus elaphus (red deer)
Lineage: Eukaryota; Metazoa; Chordata; Mammalia; Artiodactyla; Cervidae
Gene name: phosphatidylcholine translocator ABCB4-like
Exons: 17
Source: RefSeq, a predicted model, not a curated record